This 608-nucleotide long non-coding RNA is filed under the name Vulpes vulpes (red fox). Its description in RNAcentral is "lncRNA (ENSVVUG00000003196.1)". The record is from RNAcentral. Lineage: Eukaryota; Metazoa; Chordata; Mammalia; Carnivora; Canidae.
UUUGUAACAACUGAAAAAAAAAAAAAAGGAACUUGGAAAUUAUUUAAUUUAGGCAAGAUAUAUGAACCAGCACAGAAACUGCACUACUCAGUCUGUCAUAGUCACCAACUGCACUUCUCUUCCAAAACAUUUGGAAAACAAGUCUUCGGGUCAGCCAUGGCUUCACUGAACUUGGCUCAAGAUUUCAGACCAGCUUCAGAUCUACUCUAUUUGGUUCAUUAUACUCCUUGAACCAGCCACCAACUAAGCCACAUUCUUCUAAUUAUACAUCGCAAGACCACAACAAGUGUUUUGAUCAUUUUACUGAUCUAAUGCAAAUCACCUUGAGUGUCAUUGCUUUUUACACCUCAGAGUGAAUCAAGACUCUGACAAGUGGUCCUGAAAUGGAUGACAAAAGCAAGAGUUGAAGAGAUAUGAGUACUUGGAGGUAGGUUUGAUCUGACUGUGCCAAAGGAGGAACAGGAAGUAAAUUUGGGACCUCUAAAAACUCUUUUCUCUUGCUUUACAAGAAUUCCCUUGCUUAAAAAAAAUGCAGUUAGACUUUUCAAUGGAUGCAACUUAAAAAAAAAAAAAAAACCUGAAAGAUAGCCUGCAAAAAAAUAAUAAAU